This 492-nucleotide ribosomal RNA is filed under the name uncultured bacterium. Its description in RNAcentral is "partial 16S ribosomal RNA". It matches the Rfam family "Bacterial small subunit ribosomal RNA", at positions 30 to 507 of the family's 1533-position model. The record is from RNAcentral.
AUUGAACGCUGGCGGCAUGCUUUACACAUGUCAGUCGAACGGUAACAGGCCUUCGGGUGCUGACGAGUGGCGAACGGGUGAGUAAUGCAUCGGAACGUGCCCAGAGGUGGGGGAUAACGCAGCGAAAGCUGUGCUAAUACCGCAUGUGAUCUGAGGAUGAAAGCGGGGGACCAGGCAGCAAUGUUUGGCCUCGCGCCUUUGGAGCGGCCGAUGUCAGAUUAGGUAGUUGGUGGGGUAAAGGCCUACCAAGCCGACGAUCUGUAGCUGGUCUGAGAGGACGACCAGCCACACUGGGACUGAGACACGGCCCAGACUCCUACGGGAGGCAGCAGUGGGGAAUUUUGGACAAUGGGCGCAAGCCUGAUCCAGCAAUGCCGCGUGCGGGAAGAAGGCCUUCGGGUUGUAAACCGCUUUUGUACGGAACGAAAGGGCUCUGGCUAAUACCUGGGGCUGAUGACGGUACCGUAAGAAUAAGCACCGGCUAACUACGUG